Eurytemora carolleeae is the source of this 309-nucleotide long non-coding RNA. RefSeq lists it as uncharacterized. The transcript has 3 exons. NCBI's taxonomy places the organism in Eukaryota, Metazoa, Arthropoda, Copepoda, Calanoida, Temoridae. The record is from RefSeq and is a predicted model, not a curated record.
CUAGGAUUGUCCGGCCUGGUACAGUGUACCUCUUGGAUAAUUUUUGUCCUAACAGUUCCCGCUUCAAUUCUUCUAACUACAGAUUUUCAGGAGAGACUGAUUGGUGUGAUGCUAGCUCUAGGGGCAAACUAUACUCUCCUCAGUUUAUAUUAUGAAAAUAUAUUCUUACUCACAAUCUCAUUAUCUAUCUAUUCAUGGAUUCAGGCUGAAUCUGAUCGAAGUACUGCAUUUGACAAUGGUAUUAUUUUUAAUUAAUUAAUUAGUUAAUUAUUAUUGUGAAUUACUAAUUAUUUAAAACAUCUUGGAACA